This 533-nucleotide small RNA is filed under the name Malus domestica (apple). RNAcentral's name for it is "sRNA MD09G0199600". The record is from RNAcentral. Lineage: Eukaryota; Viridiplantae; Streptophyta; Magnoliopsida; Rosales; Rosaceae.
CCCUUAAUUCUUUCCCUCUUUCCCGUACCCUGUCUCUCUCUCUUCCCUCACGACUCUCUCUCACUCUCAGUUCUCUCUCUCUUCCUCUCCGACGCUCAACCUCACCCAAAACCACCUAAAACAUAAACAAACGUCCAAGGUAAGACCACAUUUGGACUCCUGGAACUUCCACGAUCACGUAGACAUCAAUUUCAGGGAAAUCUAAGCUCACAGGGAGCUCUAGGAGGUUCCCACGAAGCUCGGAGUGCUUCGUUGGAAGUUUUUGGACGAAAGAACACGGAGAUCGACGAGUUCAAAGUUUGGCCGGAGCUUUCGAGGCAUUUUCCGGCGAAUCCCCGGCGAGUUAGGAGUCGAGGUAGGUAUCAAUCUCUUCGUCUCGUCAAGUACUACAACUUUCCUUUUUGUUUCACUCAAUGUCUUUCCGGCGACCUCCGAGGCUUUCGAGGCAGUUUCCGGCCAAACCACAGCGAACUAGGUGUUGUGCAAGGUACCAUUCUCUUUGUCUCUUCAAGGGCUACAACUUUCAUUUUUGA